Molecule: ribosomal RNA, 470 nt
Filed under: uncultured bacterium
Lineage: Bacteria
Description: bacterial SSU rRNA
Rfam family: Bacterial small subunit ribosomal RNA
Source: RNAcentral
ACUCCUACGGGAGGCAGCAGUGGGGAAUAUUGCACAAUGGGCGCAAGCCUGAUGCAGCCAUGCCGCGUGUGUGAAGAAGGCCUUCGGGUUGUAAAGCACUUUCAGUUGUGAGGAAAGGUUAGUCGCUAAUAUCGGCUAGCUGUGACGUUACCUACAGAAGAAGCUCCGGCUAACUCCGUGCCAGCAGCCGCGGUAAUACGGAGGGAGCGAGCGUUAAUCGGAAUUACUGGGCGUAAAGCGCACGUAGGCGGCUUUGUAAGUCGGAUGUGAAAGCCCCGGGCUUAACCUGGGAAUGGCAUUCGAUACUGCAGAGCUAGAGUAUGGUAGAGGGAAGUGGAAUUCCGGUGUAGCGGUGAAAUGCGUGAUAUCGGAAGGAACACCGGUGGCGAAGGCGACUUCCUGGGCCAAUACUGACGCUGAGGUGCGAAAGCGUGGGUAGCAAACAGGAUUAGAUACCCUGGUAGGCUCUG